CUAACUUGUAUUGAUUUGUCGGACAACUUGUUGUCCUGGUGCAUCCCUGAAGAGCUAAACAACCUUCGUGGCCUUCGCUUUCUAAACCUAUCAAGAAACCAUCUGUCAUGCGACAUUCCUGAAGAUAUUGGUAGUUUAAAUAUUCUUGAGUGCCUAGAUCUAUCAUCUAAUGAACUUUCAGGAGCCAUUCCUUCGAGCAUCACGAGCAUAUCGGGGCUAGCCGCGUUCAAUGUAUCAAACAACUUUUUGUCAGGCAAGAUACCUAUUGGGAGUCAGACUCAGACCCUGACAGAUCAAUCGAUUUACUCCAACAAUUUUGGGCUUUGUGGGCUUCCUCUGGAUAUUCCAUGUGCAAAGACUUCACUUGUACCAGAGGAGACAAAUGGUGAAGGGGAGGACCUAUGGAUGUACUAUUUUGUGAUUGCUGGGAUUGUGUUUGGUUCCUGGAUAUGGUUUGGGAUGCUCUUUACAAUUAAGACAUGGAGAUGUGCUUUCCUCUUCUUUGUCGAUGGCAUGCAAUGUAAAAUUAUGAAGAAGGUGUCUCAUUAG
Molecule: ribosomal RNA, 549 nt
Filed under: Triticum aestivum (bread wheat)
Lineage: Eukaryota; Viridiplantae; Streptophyta; Magnoliopsida; Poales; Poaceae
Description: partial small subunit ribosomal RNA
Source: RNAcentral